This 222-nucleotide ribosomal RNA is filed under the name Ctenophora environmental sample. Its description in RNAcentral is "partial Bacterial large subunit ribosomal RNA". It matches the Rfam family "Bacterial large subunit ribosomal RNA", at positions 248 to 468 of the family's 2925-position model. Lineage: Eukaryota; Metazoa; Ctenophora. The record is from RNAcentral.
GGCGAGCGAACGCGGAACAGCCCAAACCUACGUCAUUGGCGUAGGGGUAGUAGGGGCCUCAACAAAGUAGUGUUAAAAUAUUAGACGAACGUGGUGGAAACCACGGCCAAAGAAGGUAAAAGCCCUGUAAUCGAAAAUGUUUUGCAUUAUGAGAGGACUCCCUGAGUAGGACGGGACACGAGGAACCCUGUCUGAAUCUAGGUGGACCAUCAUCUAAGGCUA